RNAcentral lists this ribosomal RNA (381 nucleotides) under uncultured marine Chaetocerotaceae. RNAcentral describes it as "SSU rRNA". It matches the Rfam family "Eukaryotic small subunit ribosomal RNA", at positions 587 to 972 of the family's 1831-position model. Lineage: Eukaryota; Bacillariophyta; Thalassiosirophyceae; Chaetocerotales; Chaetocerotaceae. The record is from RNAcentral.
AGCUCCAAUAGCGUAUAUUAAAGUUGCUGCAGUUAAAAAGCUCGUAGUUGCAUUUCCGAGGCAAGGGAUUAGUCCGACCUUUGGUGGGUAUUUAAUCCUCUUGCCUCGUCCUUGAGUGGUGCUUCUUGGUAUUAAGUUAUCGAGGAGAUAGCCGCUCAUCGUUUACUGUGAGAAAAUUAGAGUGUUCAAAGCAGGCUUAUGCCGUUGAAUAUAUUAGCAUGGAAUAAUAAGAUAGUACCUCGGUACUAUUUUGUUGGUUUGAGAACCAAGGUAAUGAUGAAUAGGGACAGUUGGGAGUAUUCGUAUUCAGUUGUCAGAGGUGAAAUUCUUAGAUUUACGGAAGACGAACUACUGCGAAAGCAUUUACCAAGGAUGUUUUCA